AAGGGUAUCUUGCCCCUCUCCAUUACAGAAAGACCCUGGGCUCACACCCUCCUCAGAGGAAUCCAUUACUAGCUAAGCUCUCUAACACCAUUUCCUACCAGGGGGGAAAAGAAGACAUUUUAAGUUUGACAUUAUUUAAAAACACAACAAAGUUUGGAAAAAAGUAUACUAGAUUAACACAUGAACCAAACAAAGAGUUUAAAAUAAGCAAAUAAAAUCUUAGAGAAAUGAGGGUUGUGGCAGAUACUGAAGGUUGGCUCCCUCAAUGUUCUUUCCAAUGAAUGAGCUUUUGCCAUGUGUUCAACCACUAUAAGAGUGUGGGAGGCCAAAACCUAUCAUCAAGAAGACCUUGCAGUUUGAGUUGGAUGUGUGACACAAAGGUAGAUAAUAAGAUAAGAAGUCUGUCGAGGAUUUCUGGGGAAAAUCUUUGCCUGAUAAAUGUAUAGCUUUUUCUCUCCCUUCUCUUUGCCCUCCCUUCUUCCUGCUACCAGUUGCAAGAUAGCUGGAGGUUGCUCACUAUCUGGGCUCCAUGAAGGAAAGAUGUGGGGAGAAGAGACCUUGAUCCUAACACUUGGAACUGCCAGCAAUCACUCACUUAUACAUCUCUUGCUGUUUGUGAAAGAGAUCCAUCAAAGGAGAGAAAGAAGAUGA
Molecule: long non-coding RNA, 651 nt
Filed under: Canis lupus familiaris (dog)
Lineage: Eukaryota; Metazoa; Chordata; Mammalia; Carnivora; Canidae
Description: lncRNA (ENSCAFG00030020939.1)
Source: RNAcentral